Molecule: ribosomal RNA, 253 nt
Filed under: uncultured bacterium
Lineage: Bacteria
Description: partial 16S ribosomal RNA
Rfam family: Bacterial small subunit ribosomal RNA
Source: RNAcentral
GACGAAAGAUGCAAGCGUUAUCCGGAUUCAUUGGGUUUAAAGGGAGCGUAGGUGGCCUUAUAAGUCAGUGGUGAAAUCUCUGGGCUUAACCCAGAAAUUGCCAUUGAUACUGUAGGGCUUGAGUAUAGUUGCCGUUGGCGGAAUAUGACAUGUAGUGGUGAAAUACAUAGAGAUGUCAUAGAACACCGAUUGCGAAGGCAGCUGACGAAACUAUAACUGACACUGAGGCUCGAAAGUGCGGGGAUCAAACAGG